RNAcentral lists this unclassified non-coding RNA (253 nucleotides) under uncultured Pirellulaceae bacterium. RNAcentral describes it as "contains 16S-23S intergenic spacer region". It matches the Rfam family "Bacterial small subunit ribosomal RNA", at positions 524 to 776 of the family's 1533-position model. Lineage: Bacteria; Pseudomonadati; Planctomycetota; Planctomycetia; Pirellulales; Pirellulaceae. The record is from RNAcentral.
UACGAACCGGACGAACGUUAUUCGGAAUUAUUGGGCUUAAAGAGUGCGUAGGCGGCCUGGCAAGUUGGGUGUGAAAUCCCUCGGCUCAACCGAGGAACUGCGCCCAAAACUGCCGGGCUUGAGAGAGACAGAGGUGAGCGGAACUGAUGGAGGAGCGGUGAAAUGCGUUGAUCUCAUCAGGAACACCGGUGGCGAAGGCGGCUCACUGGGUCUCAUCUGACGCUGAGGCACGAAAGCUAGGGGAGCGAACGGG